GGGGGUUUAGCUCAGUUGGUAGAGCGUUCGCUUAGCACGUGCUAACUUGCGAAAGGUCGCGUGUUCGACUCAUGCAGUCUCCA
This is a transfer RNA of 83 nucleotides. It matches the Rfam family "tRNA". From Rfam's summary of the family: Transfer RNA (tRNA) molecules are approximately 80 nucleotides in length. The record is from Rfam.